RNAcentral lists this ribosomal RNA (899 nucleotides) under Staphylococcus aureus. Its description in RNAcentral is "bacterial SSU rRNA". It matches the Rfam family "Bacterial small subunit ribosomal RNA", at positions 106 to 991 of the family's 1533-position model. Lineage: Bacteria; Bacillati; Bacillota; Bacilli; Caryophanales; Staphylococcaceae. The record is from RNAcentral.
GUGAGUAACACGUGGAUAACCUACCUAUAAGACUGGGAUAACUUCGGGAAACCGGAGCUAAUACCGGAUAAUAUUUUGAACCGCAUGGUUCAAAAGUGAAAGACGGUCUUGCUGUCACUUAUAGAUGGAUCCGCGCUGCAUUAGCUAGUUGGUAAGGUAACGGCUUACCAAGGCAACGAUGCAUAGCCGACCUGAGAGGGUGAUCGGCCACACUGGAACUGAGACACGGUCCAGACUCCUACGGGAGGCAGCAGUAGGGAAUCUUCCGCAAUGGGCGAAAGCCUGACGGAGCAACGCCGCGUGAGUGAUGAAGGUCUUCGGAUCGUAAAACUCUGUUAUUAGGGAAGAACAUAUGUGUAAGUAACUGUGCACAUCUUGACGGUACCUAAUCAGAAAGCCACGGCUAACUACGUGCCAGCAGCCGCGGUAAUACGUAGGUGGCAAGCGUUAUCCGGAAUUAUUGGGCGUAAAGCGCGCGUAGGCGGUUUUUUAAGUCUGAUGUGAAAGCCCACGGCUCAACCGUGGAGGGUCAUUGGAAACUGGAAAACUUGAGUGCAGAAGAGGAAAGUGGAAUUCCAUGUGUAGCGGUGAAAUGCGCAGAGAUAUGGAGGAACACCAGUGGCGAAGGCGACUUUCUGGUCUGUAACUGACGCUGAUGUGCGAAAGCGUGGGGAUCAAACAGGAUUAGAUACCCUGGUAGUCCACGCCGUAAACGAUGAGUGCUAAGUGUUAGGGGGUUUCCGCCCCUUAGUGCUGCAGCUAACGCAUUAAGCACUCCGCCUGGGGAGUACGACCGCAAGGUUGAAACUCAAAGGAAUUGACGGGGACCCGCACAAGCGGUGGAGCAUGUGGUUUAAUUCGAAGCAACGCGAAGAACCUUACCAAAUCUUGACAUCCUU